CCAGUGUGUCUGUCAAUUAAACAAGGUAUUAAGGUAGUGACUAAUUUAAACCUGGUUCAUUUGACAGUGAUUGGAUCUCCUUGAUUUUAUUAGUCCUGAUCAUGAUCCUAAGAGCGGAGAUGCUCAGAAGAAACAUAGGCGUUCAAAGAUAUUGCUGGCUGCUGAAAAUUCAAGCAGCGGCAGUGGAGGCGGAGGGGGAAGCGGCGGAGCAAAGUACAAAUUGAAGCCAACUCCGUACUAUAAAGAAGAUACACUUUUGCAUUGACGUUAACACAGAAAUUGUGUCAGAAAUGAAGAACACCGGACCAAAUGAAUGACCCAUCACCAGACUUGAUUCAAUCAAACAAUCCAUCCUUUUAUUCAUCCAUGCUGAACUCACCAUUAAUCCUGAUCAUCAUUUCGUCUUCACCUCUAUCUCAAAUUCAGCUGCUUGGCUAUUCUGCAGAUUCUCGCAUGGUUACCAGUGGCAAUAUUUUAUUCAUCAGGCAUCUCAAUCAUCACCAUAACUUUCUAUCUUCUUCUGAGCAACUUAGGUGCCUCUAUAGCUGAGGUUGCUAAUGAUUCUAUGGUUUCCGAGAUUAGUAAACAACCUACUUAUUUAAAGAAAGAGCAAUCAUCUUCCUCAGGGGAGCUUCAGUCAUUUGUUUUGAUGGCUACUUCAGUUGGGGGAGUACUCGGGAAUUUAGUAGGAGGGGUUGCCAUUGUAAAGUUCAG
Long non-coding RNA from Spinacia oleracea (spinach), 714 nucleotides. RefSeq lists it as uncharacterized. The record is from RefSeq and is a predicted model, not a curated record. The transcript is spliced from 3 exons. NCBI's taxonomy places the organism in Eukaryota, Viridiplantae, Streptophyta, Magnoliopsida, Caryophyllales, Amaranthaceae.